UGUGUCGAUGGAACCCCCCGUCUCCUCUCUCUCCAUGGUUGAGCCCCCACCCUCCCGAGGCAUCCUCUGGUGGCUGGUUGAGCUGAUGCCGGCCUCCCCUCCUUUUUUUCUUCCCUUCCGUUGGUUGACACUGGACCCUGCAUCCCUUUUGAUGGUUGACACGAUGGUGGUUCAUUCGUCGGAACCAUGUUGGACACUUUGCUCUCCCUCC
Molecule: long non-coding RNA, 211 nt
Filed under: Elaeis guineensis (African oil palm)
Lineage: Eukaryota; Viridiplantae; Streptophyta; Magnoliopsida; Arecales; Arecaceae
Description: long non-coding RNA (EGUI_LNC024511)
Source: RNAcentral